Molecule: long non-coding RNA, 1133 nt
Filed under: Mus musculus (house mouse)
Lineage: Eukaryota; Metazoa; Chordata; Mammalia; Rodentia; Muridae
Description: long non-coding RNA chr8:94622832-94623965
Source: RNAcentral
GAACUGCCAGUGUAUGGCCAGCAUUCCCAGUGGUUGAUAAUGUUGGAAAUGAGCUGCUUGACCUUCUCCAGCAUUCAGUUGUUAAAAAUGAAUAGAAUGCAAGUUCAGUUCCACAUUAUGAAAACAGUACUCGGAAAAUUGAAAACUAUCUAGAUGAUUGUCUUUGGUUGGGCUGUGUUCUUAGCAAGCAGAAGCCUUGGUCAGGGUCUGCUGCUGACUCUUGAGGAGCACAUAGCCCACCUAUUGGGGACUACAGGUGCCACUGCUACUAUGGGUAAUUCCUGCAUCUGCCGAGAUGACAGUGGAGCAGAAGACAAUGUUGACACCCACCAGCAACAGGCUGAGAACAGUACAGUCCCUACUGCUGAUAGUAGGAGCCAACCUCGGGACCCUGUCCGGCCUCCAAGGAGAGGCCGAGGACCUCAUGAGCCAAGGAGAAAGAAACAAAAUGUGGAUGGGUUAGUGCUGGACACACUGGCGGUAAUACGGACUCUUGUAGAUAAGUAAGUAUCUGACUUACUGUCGACUCCAGUGUCAUGGAAAGUGUUCUGCCAGGAACCACCGCUUUUGGACUCCUUCCACUCAGUUAGGAUAUAUUUUCCAAGCCUUGUGCUCAUAGGCCAAGAGAGAAUACUUAUUUCUUCUCUGAUAGUGGAUUAAAUAAGAUUUGAUAUUUUUACUUGCUAUCAUCUACUCCUGUCUGGAACAUUUUGGACAGUUCUGUACAGAAAACUUGGAUUUAAUUUUCUGACUGAAAAUAUGAUCUUUAUGAGGGAGUACAGUAACUAUGGAGUGAGUCUGUAUUAAUUACUUGCUUAAGUAGGAAAUAAGGAAGUGUUUUCUUGAAGAUUAAUUACUAUGUUUGCCUAUUUGUUCUGCUGACCAUAUAUUCAAGAUGAGUAGUCUUAUCAAGAGCAUGGCAUGCAACUUCUGUAGGCAAUUAAGGACAAUGGGCAACAAAAGUUUAACCUCUCCUAUUUUAUUAUUUCUUGUUUAGCCAGUUAGAUCCAUUUGGGGAAAUUGUAAGUUGAAACGACAGGGCACACCUGGGCCUGUGUUCUCUUUCUCCUGCUUUGUUUAAAACAAAAUCUCGGUUUGAAUGACAGUGAAAUUAAAGGGUUUUGCUCAGACUG